RNAcentral lists this ribosomal RNA (460 nucleotides) under uncultured bacterium. RNAcentral describes it as "partial 16S ribosomal RNA". It matches the Rfam family "Bacterial small subunit ribosomal RNA", at positions 338 to 795 of the family's 1533-position model. The record is from RNAcentral.
CCUACGGGUGGCAGCAGUGAGGAAUAUUGGUCAAUGGGCGCAAGCCUGAACCAGCCAUGUAGCGUGUAGGAUGACUGCCCUACGGGUUGUAAGCUUCUUCUAUAAAGGGGUAAGGUGAGGCACGUGUGCCUUUAUGUAUGUACUUUAUGAAUAAGGAUCGGCUAACUCCGUGCCAGCAGCCGCGGUCAUACGGAGGAUCCGAGCGUUAUCCGGAUUUAUUGGGUUGAACGGGAGCGUAGAUGGGUUGUUAAGUCAGUUGUGAAAGCCUGCGGCUCAACCGUAAAAUUGCAAUUGAUACUGGCAGCCUUGAGUACAGUUGAGGGAGGUAGAAUUCGUGGUGUAGCGGUGAAAUGCUUAGAUAUCACGAAGAACACCGAUUGCGAAGGCAGCCUCCUAAACUGACACUGACACUGAUGUUCGAAAGUGUGGGGAUCAAACAGGAUUAGAUACCCCGGUAGUC